This 421-nucleotide ribosomal RNA is filed under the name Dreissena polymorpha. RNAcentral's name for it is "eukaryotic LSU rRNA". The record is from RNAcentral. Lineage: Eukaryota; Metazoa; Mollusca; Bivalvia; Myida; Dreissenidae.
CGACCGGUCCGGUGGCGGUCAGGAGCCCAGAGGGGAGGUAGCAUGUGUGGCAAUUGAGCCUCGUUGCAGAACGUACAGCCCUCCGAGGUGGACUCGCCGAUGGACUGAGGAUGCCGCGGUGGCCACACGCCGCGAGCCGUCCGGGUGGCUCGCAUUUGGUCGCGCCGCUCGCCUGGUACGGGCUCACGGGCCGUGGGUCGCCUAGGGUCAGUGGCGAAUCGGUCGGCAACCCACCAGACCCGUCUUGAAACACGGACCAAGGAGUCAAACAUGUGCGCGAGUCACGGGGUCUCUCGAAACCCAAGGGCGCAAUGAAAGUGAAGGCCGCCUCCGGCUGGCCCAGGCAAGAUCCCGAGUCGUUCGCGACGAGGGCGCACUGCCGGCCCGUCUCGCUGGCAUCGACCACGAGGCGGAGCAAGAG